RNAcentral lists this long non-coding RNA (2265 nucleotides) under Gossypium barbadense (sea-island cotton). RNAcentral's name for it is "long non-coding RNA (GBAR_LNC023084)". The record is from RNAcentral. Lineage: Eukaryota; Viridiplantae; Streptophyta; Magnoliopsida; Malvales; Malvaceae.
UACAACCCAAAACCAAAUAAUAAUAUUAAUAAGACAAAACUUAUAAAGAUAUAAAUCGGCUACUUAUUGCAAUUAAAAGAAACAGAAACAGUAGUGUGGCCAUCUCCGAGUCCCUCGUAGCUCUAAACCAUCUAAGCUUAGGGAUUACCUGCACAGUUAGAAACGGGGUUAGUUUACGAAAACUCAGUGUGUAAUCCCAAUAACAAACAAACAGUGAAAACACAGUAUCAGUACAAUCUGGGCCAAAGCCCUAUUUAGUCUUGACAUAUACUGGGCCUAAGCCUUUCGUUUAACGGUUACUGGACCAAAGCCUUUUCAUAAAUCAUAUCACUGGGCCGAAGCCUUUUAAUAAAUCAUAUCACUCGGCCGAAGCCUUUACUGUAAACGGUAUGGCCCUUAGGCCCAUUUCAAUAUCACAUGUAAUGUCAAUGGAUGUAUGCAAGCCCAUUUCAAUAUCACAUGAAAUACCAAUGAAUGUAUGCAAGCCCAUUUGGGGAGACUACUCGACCCACCAUCCGCUACUCUCCACUCGUACCAACCAAGCUCUCUAUGUGAGGAAUAACUCAACCCACCCAACCAAACUCUCCAUUGGCAGCAUAGCUGCUUUAUCAUAUAAAUGGAGGCCUAGCCUCUUUUAAUAACUUAGGCAAAGCCCUUUCUGAUAAACUGGGGCAGAGCCCUUUUCGGUAAAUUGGGGCAGAGCCCUUUUAGCACUUCCUCCAUCAAUAUAACCUAUAUCCCAUGCAAUAUGUCAUGUAUGCAGAAUGUCAUGCCCAUAUCUGAAUCAAACAAUCACAGUCAAGUCACUCAUAUCACCAACAUAUAUUCACAAUCAAAUCCGUCAACCACACAGUUCAAGUUAGUCACUUACCCACAAGGGCAAAACAGUCAUUUUCAUAUUAUAAGGGUAUUUUUGUAAUUUUACCAAAUAUCAGGGUUUUCCAUGUUCAUUACAAUUGUCAAUAUUUCUGAGUGUUUAAACAAUAAUCUUUAACCCACUUUAUCAAAUUCAGGCUUUUGGGCCCAAAACCCCUAAUGGGCCCUACGAAUGCUGAUUUAGCCUACUUAACCCAAAUUUUACAACAAUACUAACCGUGUUAACGUGCAACUUUUCCAAAUUCCAUUUUUUAUCGAUUUUACCCAAAUGGGCCCAAAGCCCAUUUGGGCCCAAUUCCAGCCCAUUGAGGCCCAACUUACCAUUGUGCACAAAAUUGAGUUCUUACCUGUUCCAUUGAUCCAAACACCGAUCUUAUCGUAUUUAUCACAUCUAUACCCAAACGCAACAUUACAAGUUCCCAAAAUACCAGCAUUUUAGCAUUUCGGCUUCUCAGCAAAUAUUAAUCUAAGCUAUUACGAGGGUUAGUACACACCUGUUACGGGUUGAAGUUGAAACAUUUCCAUAAUCAAUCACCUACGAUAACCACCACCUGUCACUCAAACUUAACUAUUCCAAUAUCAAUAUAUGUAAAUCCUAAGCACAUCAGUUAUACGGAACAUAAGGGCGUAUUCAUCAUUUUACCAUACAAGGGUAUUACGGUCACUUUACCCUACAGGGGCUUUACAAUCUUUUUACCUAUUAGGGGUAUUUUAGUCAUUUCAUCCUACAAGGGUGUUUUGGUAAAUCUACAAACCAAGGGUAUUUCAGUAAUUUUGUAAACCAAUAGUAUUCCUAUAAUUUUUAAAAAAGUCAAGGGUAUUUCUGUAAUUUUGUAAAUCAGGGGUAUUUUGGUAAUUUUACAAAUUGAGGGUAUUUUAGUAAUUUCUCAAACCAGUGGUAUUUUGGUAAUUUUAUCCUACAAGGGUAUUUUAGUAAUUUCACAAUCGAGGAUAAAAUAGAAAUUUUGUAAAUUGAGGGUAAAAUGGUAAUUUUGUAAAUCGAGGGUAAAACGAUAAUUCUAUAAGUCGAGGGUACUUUGGUAAUUUUACAAGUCGAGGAUAUUUCAGUAAUUUGGUAAACUAAAGUAUUCUAAACAUGGAUAACAAUACUAAUGGCCCUAAAGCCCAUUCUCGGCCCAAAUGGGCCCACACGUUCGUGUGGCCCUUUUAACCCAAAUCUAGCCACAAAUAUGAGAUUCACCUAGCCUAGUCCAAUAUUUACUACACAAUCAAACAACUUAUCCAAUUGGGCCCGUAGGCCCAUUGGGCCCACAUAGCCCCUUUCGGCCUAUCGCCGCCCGAAGUAGCCAUCCUACAGCUAGAGUAGUGAGAAAUACACACCUGAUAGGAGACUGGAGUUAAUCCACGCUCCGAGCACUCUUAGCCGAC